Molecule: non-coding RNA, 574 nt
Organism: Rattus norvegicus (Norway rat)
Lineage: Eukaryota; Metazoa; Chordata; Mammalia; Rodentia; Muridae
Source: RefSeq, a predicted model, not a curated record
UUCUCAGAUAUUCCUUCAGUACAUCUAGGGUUUGUAACUGGCCUUUAAUUCAGAGUAAAUAGCCAUUUUUUAGGGAGAGCAAAGAGGAUGAAAGGAUCCGAGAUGAGGAGAAGGAAGCUGCCCUUCUGUCAUGGUAUAAAAAAGGAAGAAAUACAUGGUCCACUGGAGAGCUCAGUGAAUCCUGGGAACCUAUUGAGGUUGAUGUUUAACUGGACCUCAAGCCAUUCCUCUCACUGCCCAUCCUCCUAAGUAUGAUGUAUGGCCUGAAGAAAUAAUCAUGGUGGGAACACAGCUUUUCUGAUGUCUCGAAAUUUUUGGAUAAACUAAGGAUUUGGAAGUUCAUCAUUGGAAAAGAUCAGUAGCAAGUCAUAGCAGGAUGCCAUGGAAAUGAGAAACUGAAGCGAUCAGAGAACUCAAUUUGCAGUUAAAUGGGCUGUAAACAAUCCUUACAUGUUCAUCAAAGAAAAUACUUAAAUAUUAAAUACUUGGUUGGAAGAGGGAUUCUUGUGCACCUAACCAUUUCUUAACCUCACUAAUAAACAAGGAAAUUUCAACCUCCCCAACCCCACCAAGG